AUGGCUAAUGACUCCUUGACAAGGGCGCAAAUAGUUGGAGAUGUUCUGGACCCAUUUGCUAGCUCGGUGCCUCUAACUGUGAUGUAUGAUGGGAGGCCCAUGUUUAAUGGCAUGGAGUUUCGCUCACCGGCAGUCUAUCUGAAACCUAGAGUUGAGAUCGGCGGUGAUGAUUUCCGUGUGGCCUAUACCCUAGUUCUGGUGAAUCCUGAUGCGCCUAAUCCCAGCAACCCAACCAUAAGGGAGUAUCUCCAUUGGAUGGUGAGUGAUGUCCCGGCAUCAACAGAUGAUAGCUUUGGCCAUGAGGUUGUCCCAUAUGAGAGCCCAAGCCCCACCAUGGGCAUCCACCAUAUCGUGAUGGUGAUGUACCAGCAGUUGGGCCGGGGGACGGUGUUUGCGCCACAAGUGCGCCAGAACUUCAACACGCGCAACUUUGCACGCCGCUUCAACCUCGGCCAGCCUGUCGCCGCCAUGUACUUCAAUUGCCAACGGACGACGGGCACCGGUGGGAGAAGGUUCACCUGA
Molecule: ribosomal RNA, 522 nt
Filed under: Triticum aestivum (bread wheat)
Lineage: Eukaryota; Viridiplantae; Streptophyta; Magnoliopsida; Poales; Poaceae
Description: partial small subunit ribosomal RNA
Source: RNAcentral